GACGAACGCUGGCGGCGUGCCUAAUACAUGCAAGUAGAACGCUGAAGGAGGAGCUUGCUUCUCUGGAUGAGUUGCGAACGGGUGAGUAACGCGUAGGUAACCUGCCUGGUAGCGGGGGAUAACUAUUGGAAACGAUAGCUAAUACCGCAUAAUAGCAGUUGUUGCAUGACAACUGUUUGAAAGGUGCAAUUGCACCACUACCAGAUGGACCUGCGUUGUAUUAGCUAGUUGGUGGGGUAACGGCUCACCAAGGCGACGAUACAUAGCCGACCUGAGAGGGUGAUCGGCCACACUGGGACUGAGACACGGCCCAGACUCCUACGGGAGGCAGCAGUAGGGAAUCUUCGGCAAUGGACGGAAGUCUGACCGAGCAACGCCGCGUGAGUGAAGAAGGUUUUCGGAUCGUAAAGCUCUGUUGUAAGAGAAGAACGAGUGUGAGAGUGGAAAGUUCACACUGUGACGGUAUCUUACCAGAAAGGGGCGGCUAACUACGUU
Molecule: ribosomal RNA, 495 nt
Filed under: uncultured bacterium
Lineage: Bacteria
Description: partial 16S ribosomal RNA
Rfam family: Bacterial small subunit ribosomal RNA
Source: RNAcentral